GUUAGAGUAGCUUAAAUAAAGUAUAACUCUGAAAAAGUUAAAAUGGUCUCUCCCUCUAACA
RNAcentral lists this transfer RNA (61 nucleotides) under Celleporella hyalina. RNAcentral's name for it is "tRNA-Phe". The record is from RNAcentral. Lineage: Eukaryota; Metazoa; Bryozoa; Gymnolaemata; Cheilostomatida; Hippothoidae.